This 497-nucleotide ribosomal RNA is filed under the name uncultured bacterium. RNAcentral's name for it is "partial 16S ribosomal RNA". It matches the Rfam family "Bacterial small subunit ribosomal RNA", at positions 28 to 507 of the family's 1533-position model. The record is from RNAcentral.
GACGAACGCUGGCGGCGUGCCUAAUACAUGCAAGUCGAACGAUCAGAGGAGCAGCUUGCUGGUCCGGGAUGAGUGGCGAACGGGUGAGUAACACGUGGGUAACCUACCUCUAUGACUUGGAUAACUUCGUGAAAGCGUGGCUAAUACGGGAUAUCAUGGUGCACUGCCAGGAUCGACAGUGAAAGACGAUCGUGCCGGCGCUGGUAGAGGUCGCCGCGCCGCAUUAGCUAGUUGGUGAGGUGGCGGCUUAACACGGCAACGAGGCGAAGCCGAGCUGAGAGGGGGGUGGGCAACAUCGGACUGGAGAUGCGGCCCAGACUAGUAUGGUAGGGAGCGGUAGGGUAUCUUACGCUAUGGGCGAGAGGCUGACGGAGCAACGCCGCGUCAGGUAAGAAGGGCUUGAGAUCGUAAUGUUCUGUUAUUAGGGAAGAACAAAUGGGUAGGUAACUGUGCACGGCUUGACGGUACCUGGUCAGAAAGCGACGGCUAACUACGUG